This is a long non-coding RNA of Ruditapes philippinarum (Manila clam), 2974 nucleotides long. RefSeq lists it as uncharacterized. The transcript has 3 exons. NCBI's taxonomy places the organism in Eukaryota, Metazoa, Mollusca, Bivalvia, Venerida, Veneridae. The record is from RefSeq and is a predicted model, not a curated record.
GUAUAAAUAAACGCGAAUACAUGGUGUUUGAAAAAUGACUCUGCCUAUGAGGGAGGGGAGGGUUGUUGUACUCACAUACUUUACAUGUACACAGAUUCAUAUAGUAUACAUGUCUUUAACUCUUUUCAUCCAACCUACAAUUUGCAGAGCACAUGAAUUAAGCAUCUUGCAUCACUUAAAUAGCUUUAUCAAAGAAGAAUUAUCACUUUGGCACAACUCACGAACAUAACUGUAAGUCUGUGAGAAUUAAAUCCAUUUAUGUUAUUAAGGUAAAAGAGGGUAAUUAUUUAUAACACAUAGCAUUUUAAAUUUUGGGGCAUACUAUUUCGUGCUUUUGAAGAAGAAUAAUUAUUUGUAGGGCUCGUUAAUUCUUAAUCAUUUUAAAACUGAUAUAUUGGCUUUUUACUGUGAAAUGGGAUUCAAUUUAAUAUGAAACACAAUCAAAACACGUUAUAUCUUAUAGCUUUCUAAAAGUCGUACAAAGCGAUGUACUCAUGUAAAAAAAUUGUAUCAACAUACAUGUAUCUCAUUUGAAUUGAAAAUUCGAUAUGGUUAGACCAACAAUUUUUUAUUUAGAUCAUGUCUAUUUUUAAGGACUAUUGAACCAAUGAUAUCUAACAGAAACAUUUCUAAACAAGUAGAACAGAUGAAAUAUAAUGUUUCUGCGGCAACUGUGCAUCGCAUUCAACAUGUUAGAGGUGCUUUUCGAAAUAACAUACACAAAAGAGGUAAAAGUGGUUCUUAUACUACACGUCGCACAGGGGCUACUGUUGAUGUCGAAUGUAAAGUCCGUAAUAUGGAUACGUUGAUUAAUUCCCUAACACUUAGAGAAAUGGCAACAAUUUGUAAGGUGUCAUUCCAACAGAGUAAUAGCAAACAUUCUUAAAGCUAAAUUGAAAACUCGGGAAAAGGUUCCGAGUUUAUAGGUUCAGUUUGUGAAAAAACGUCCUUGAACACGGCGUCUUAACUGUUGAAAAUGUAAAUGCCGUUGUCACAACAGAUGCUUUGUUUAAUAUGGGCGAUAAUCAUGGUCGACAUCUUGUUUGCCAACUAAUGAGACACACAAACUGAAGCUUGUACAAUGAGUUGUUUUUGCGCCUAGGUUUAUGGUUCUGUGCAAGGGUCACUUACUACGACAAGACAUUUCUAAUUUAGAUAAAGGGGUAAAAGUCUAUACAAACUUUUAACAAAGUUCUAAAAAAGAGAAAUAUUGAGUCGCAGAAGAAAACGUCAAAAACGUCAAAAUUGAAAAUGUGCAGGCUGGAUUUGAAUGAGUCUGUUCUGAAGCCAUGUCUCAAGAAAAAGAUGUUCCGCAACUUUUUCUUGGAACAGAAAUUGAUAUGGUAUCCCAUCAAGACUUGGUCUCUAGUUAUACAGCUAAAGUGACUAUUAAAAUUCUCAACAAACUUAAAGUGAAUUACAUAACACAUAAAGAAUAGAUGCCAAAAAGCCCUAAUGCAUCUCCCAUGGACAUUGGUAUCUGGAGUAUACUGAAGCGAAGUGUUUUUACGUGUUUUAAUGCGGAACCUUCUGCUACAAAAUCGUCAUGUUCUGGAAAAAAACUGUUUAACUAAAAAGGAGUGUAAAACUUUGUUACUUCUGUUUCGUAAAAGCCUUGUUUCGACUUUGAUACUCCUAAAUAGGAGAGAUAGGAUUUUUUUUUAACAUUUUAAUGAAAUUUCUUUUUUCUGGCUGAUAUACCAUAUGGUUUCCGCUUCAAAGGUAAUUGUUUAUUUUCACGCAACUUCUGCUACAAAGAAAUACCACAUAUCUUCACUUCAGUACUUUGAAGUGUCGGUCACACGACUUACCGAAAUACUGAAACACUACCGAAAUACCGGAAUACCUCCGGAAUACCUCCGGAAUACCCGAUCAUAGAUAUAAGAAAGCCAAAAUAUUCAUUAGCCGUUAUACUCCCGAUAUCUUGAUAUUUUAAUGGAGCCGGAAUACUGCGGGUGUUAACAAAAAUAACAUCUGAAGCGAAGGAUACUGAAACGCAAUAGUUAUACACACCCAGUCUUUAAAAGGCUCUCAAAUAAGGAUGGAGCAAAAUUAAAUAGUCAUUCAAAAACCGGACUUUAGAAAACUGGCCAAAAUAUGAACAAUGGUUUACUUUCGACAUGGAUCAGGCUGCAAUAAAACAAUGCGAAUAAAUAAUUGAAAAGAGAAAUAAAAACGCACUUUGUGUUAUAAAUCCCUUUUACGUGCUGGUUACCUAUUGAUAAUUGAAAUAAAACAUUUUCCGGUCUAGUGUAAUCAAUCGGUCGUGUCUUUUAUUUAAAAAAAAAAUAGUUUGAUUACAUUUAAAUCUAGAUAACUUAAACAAAAUUUGCAUUCGGGAGUAUAUUUCUCCGCCUGUGCGCUGCUCAAAUAUUAUUAAUAUAUCGCUUAUUAUUCUGAUCAUUCUAAAUGUUUGGUUUUCUUAGUCUGGUGUUAGCUCUUAAAAGUAAAGAUAAAAAACUUGAAAUUGACAUUUUAGGAUUUAAAUGAUAUUACUGAUGUAACACAAUGAAAAAUGAACGUCAUAGCUGUUUUAAAAUGAACAAAUGACAUAUCACAAAGCAUCGUAAAGAUACUAAGAAAACAAUCCUGCAAAACAGGCUACGACAGGACCCUCGAAAAGCGCUGUACAUUAACUAAAAGGAGAGUAAUCAAAACCGUAUUGAUAUGCUUUUUUGGAUUUUUCGCAAAUUUAAUGUGCCUAUGUUAUGUGCAUAUAAAUUGACAAUUCUAAUAUAAUAUAAGUGUUUAUAAUACUUUUAGAAAUUCAAGUUGACGGGGCAUCAAACACCUGAUUCUUCGAGAUAUUCCAGUAGAAUUACAAGUCAAAUUCAUCAUAAAUUCACGUGGCACGAAACACCUGAUUCUUCGAGAUAUUCCAGUAGAAGUACAAGUCAAUAUUAUCAGUUGCCCUGGCACCGAACAUCUGAUUCGUCGGAAAACAUGUUUUCCAGUAGAAAUACAGGACAACAAG